AAGAUAUAAAAAAAAAUUAACAAUGCAUAGCAUGUAUCAACCCUGCUCUGAUAAUAGUUAAAAGGGAAAGUAUCUGAUCUGAUCAGAUCGCCAGGGUACAUCUAAAAGAUUUCUUAUUCUAUCAAUAGUAUAACUCUUUAUGUUUACCUAAUAUGCAACAGAAUAAGGAUCAAAUCCACAAAGAUAACUUGAAUCCGAUGCCACAUG
This 207-nucleotide long non-coding RNA is filed under the name Elaeis guineensis (African oil palm). Its description in RNAcentral is "long non-coding RNA (EGUI_LNC065253)". Lineage: Eukaryota; Viridiplantae; Streptophyta; Magnoliopsida; Arecales; Arecaceae. The record is from RNAcentral.